Molecule: long non-coding RNA, 559 nt
Filed under: Danio rerio (zebrafish)
Lineage: Eukaryota; Metazoa; Chordata; Actinopteri; Cypriniformes; Danionidae
Description: lncRNA (ENSDARG00000117615.1)
Source: RNAcentral
UGUCUGUCCACCAUUUCUAAUCAAGUGCUGAGUUUUCAUGUUGAAAUUCCUUAAAUGAAGCCUUCUCUGGGUUGUGUCUUCCUUCAUUUUCUAGGUUUAAAAGUGGAAUGCAUGUAUAGAUUGAGCUAGCAGAGGAAAUUGGGCUUCCUUUUUUAAGCUCUGAUGAUUGAACACAAAUUGUCUGGCUUGUGUUUUGGUGAGUAAAACGCAACACAGAAAUGACUUUUUUUCCCUCCUUCACUGUUGCUUUUAGAUAUUGUCCAGCCAUGCAGUGGACCAUGUUUAGUGAAGGGCCUGAACCAGAAGAGAACCAGAUUGAUUGCUCUGAUUUUCUCCCACUGCAAUCUCAUGGGCGGAAAGCUGACUUCCUAUUGAAGAGUCUCCUAUCAUCAAAUUAGCUUUUCAUUUGUCCACCUGAAUGGCGCUGAUAAGUAUAACAAUGAAGCCCUGUGACAGCAGAUGGCUAUACGUCUGAAGCUCUUGAUUAUCUCACGAUGGCGUAAAUUGAAGCAAACAGCAGCUGGAGAUGAGCGUGAAGUUCAGAAGGAACCACCAACUG